GCUGGCUUAGCUCAGCGGUAGAGCAACCGCCUUGUAAGCGGUAGGUCCUGAGUUCGAAUCUCAGAGCCAGCU
RNAcentral lists this transfer RNA (72 nucleotides) under Candidatus Doudnaibacteriota bacterium. RNAcentral's name for it is "Candidatus Doudnabacteria bacterium tRNA-Thr". It matches the Rfam family "tRNA". From Rfam's summary of the family: Transfer RNA (tRNA) molecules are approximately 80 nucleotides in length. Their secondary structure includes four short double-helical elements and three loops (D, anti-codon, and T loops). The record is from RNAcentral. Lineage: Bacteria; Candidatus Doudnaibacteriota.